AGACAUUUCCCUGGGACACUCUCAUGUUUAUGGAAUGAAUUGAGGCGCGGCACAGUCCGGAACUGAUCAGUGCAAGGGAGCCGAUAUCCCGGUGGUGGAUUUCAAGUUUUAGGAAGGGCACGAGGAGAAUGAAAAAAUUGCCAAGGAGGAAAAAGACCGGAGGGCAAUCUAUUGCAAGUGUGUCAGGGGCUGAGACAACGUCUACUGAUCAAUGUUUUCACUGCAUGUAGGAGACGCAAGG
Xenopus laevis (African clawed frog) is the source of this 241-nucleotide long non-coding RNA. RefSeq lists it as uncharacterized. The record is from RefSeq and is a predicted model, not a curated record. The transcript has 4 exons. NCBI's taxonomy places the organism in Eukaryota, Metazoa, Chordata, Amphibia, Anura, Pipidae.